This is a long non-coding RNA of Carassius auratus (goldfish), 584 nucleotides long. RefSeq lists it as uncharacterized. The record is from RefSeq and is a predicted model, not a curated record. The transcript is spliced from 3 exons. Lineage: Eukaryota; Metazoa; Chordata; Actinopteri; Cypriniformes; Cyprinidae.
UCUCAGAUUUGAAGGGUUUCUGAUCAGCCAAGCGCCUCCUGGAGGAAUACAACUGCUCUUGCAGUAAACCGUUACUUUCCAAAAAUUAAUAGAACAAAGUAUAAUUACAUUGAGAAUGGGACGCACGGGAUUAAAUAAAAUAUUACAUCUUAACAUCCAACUGUCUUGUGAUCAUUGUCAGAGGAAGAAUCAGUGGACCACAAUAUGUCGACUGCCAAAAAUAGCUACAUCACAGAAAGAACAAAAAUUAAAGUAGUAAGUUAGGUGAAGCAUAUGAAAGAGAAAUAAUGCGAUUAAUAGAAUAAUUAAGUUUAGUAAGACGAUCUCUGGAAGAAGUAGUUGCUUGCCAACAAUAACAGCGAUUCUAGGAAACCGAAGCGUCCUAGUUUCGUUUUGUACGUCACUGGGGCGUGGUGAAGUCUAAACGUGUCCAAGUCACGAGUCUAAAAAAAUACUGAAGUGUGUGCCGUCGAUGGCCGUUCUCACGUUGUGUAGUUUAAUGUAAGUUAAACUCUUCGAAAGCAUGCCAUCUCUAUUCACCGUCAUCGGUAUUACAGCUGGGGCAGCUGGUGCUGUACUUCUGA